CCCCUCUCAAGGUUGCACCUGAAGAGUUUCCAGUACUCUCCCAGGCUUGACUAUUGGAGGGAGAGUGAAGCGGAGGCCUACCCAUUCCAUUCCUAGCUUGGCCGGUGGCUAGCGGGUGGAAGGCAAUCCGCUACAAGG
Ornithorhynchus anatinus (platypus) is the source of this 138-nucleotide small nucleolar RNA. The record is from RefSeq and is a predicted model, not a curated record. NCBI's taxonomy places the organism in Eukaryota, Metazoa, Chordata, Mammalia, Monotremata, Ornithorhynchidae.